This 785-nucleotide long non-coding RNA is filed under the name Anas platyrhynchos platyrhynchos (common mallard). RNAcentral describes it as "lncRNA (ENSAPLG00000026517.1)". The record is from RNAcentral. Lineage: Eukaryota; Metazoa; Chordata; Aves; Anseriformes; Anatidae.
CCGGAGCACCGGGGGGGCGGCACGCGCUGGUGUGGCUUGCACACGCGUGUGCAAAUCCUCGUGGGCUGUGGCCUGGAGCCCUGCAGCUUGCACGCUUGUGCACACUCGGACACGCUUGUGCACACACACACACACGCCUUGCACACGCACCCACUGGGCUUGCACCAACACCCCCUCUUGCACACCCACCUUGCACCAACACCCCCAGAUCUUGCACCAACACCCCCUCUUGCACACCCACCUUGCACCAACACCCAUUGGGCUUGCACCAACACCCCCUCUUGCGCACACACCUUGCACCAACACACGCUCGUGCACACCUGCCUCACACCGACAGCCCCUGGUCUUGCACCAACACACCCCCUUGCACACCCACCUUGCACCAAUACCUGCUAGUCUUGCACCAACACCCCCCUCUUGCACACCUACCUUGCACCAGCACACUCUCUUGCACACUCACCUUGCACCAACACCCCCAGGUCUUGCACCGACACCCCCUUGUACACACCCACCUUGCACCCUCACCCUCUUGCACACCCGCCUUGCACAAGCACACCGUUGUGCACACCCACCUUGCACCAAAACAUCCUUUUGCACACCCACCUUGCAUCAACACCCAGUGGUCUUGCACUAACUCACCUUCUUGCACACCCACUUGCACCAACACCCGCCUGUCUUGCACCAACACCCCCUUUUGCACACCCACCUUGCACCAACACCCGCCUGUCUUGCACCAACACCCCCUCUUGCACACCUACCUGACACCAGCUCACCCUCUUGCACAC